AAUGUCCAAUUCAAAAAGUAUUUGUUAGAUUUCUGACAAUUCUAGUACGGUUCUAACACAAUUUUAAAAAAGAAAAAUACAUUAAUUUUCUAAAAUUCAAACUUUAUUGUAUAAAUUGUUAUUAUGAUUAUGAUAAUAAGAAACAAAUAUUUGUGAACCAGUCAUAAAAAACAUCUUUCUGCUCUAAAAAAUAAUUUGGAACAUACUUGUGCACAUAAAUCUGUAUUGUCAAUUUAUAUAAUUCAUAAUUAUAUAAUAUAUAAAUCAGUGUCUCAGUGUUCUACAUUUUAGAGAUUUUACAUAUCUUCAUGUUUGGGUCCGUAUCGUAUCAGUGUUCAUGUCAGUGUCUGUGCUACAUAGUUUCAGCGGCAAACAACCUUAAACAAUGGUAAUGUCUCUAUCUCCUUUUCUGCGUUUCUCUUAUCUCAUUUCAAUUGUUGUUUUCUUCAUCGUAACUCACCGUAUCAUCUUCUUGAAUGAAACAGAGGAAGAAGAAACAUGGGUUCAAGAGAUCUUUUGUGAUGAAAAAGCUGAAGCAACCCACCGGGGAAGAAAAUCCCCAAAAGGUUCGUCUUUUCACGAGGGAAGAUACCGGCCUUCCUCAAACAGCUUCAGAGGACCUCAGAAAGUUGAUGCGCCCAUUACUCUUAUGCUUUAUGUGGAUUUGAGGUGGAAAAUUGAGGUGUAGAAGAGUGGAAAUUUGAAGGUUUAAAGGUUUAAAAGACUCGUGUAAGGAUUUGAGGAAAAAAUAUGAAAAAGUUAAGUGGAUUUGGAUUUAGA
Molecule: long non-coding RNA, 780 nt
Filed under: Phaseolus vulgaris (common bean)
Lineage: Eukaryota; Viridiplantae; Streptophyta; Magnoliopsida; Fabales; Fabaceae
Description: long non-coding RNA (PVUL_LNC002013)
Source: RNAcentral